Molecule: ribosomal RNA, 943 nt
Filed under: bacterium enrichment culture clone bHCH1_E11
Lineage: Bacteria
Description: bacterial SSU rRNA
Rfam family: Bacterial small subunit ribosomal RNA
Source: RNAcentral
CCCUAAUACAUGCAAGUCGAGCGGAUUUCACGGAGCUUGCUCCGUGACUUCAGCGGCGGACGGGUGAGUAACACGUGGGCAACCUGCCUGUAAGACUGGGAUAACUUCGGGAAACCGGAGCUAAUACCGGAUAACUCUUCGGACCACAUGGACUGAAGAUAAAAGAUGGUUCUGCUAUCACUUACAGAUGGGCCCGCGGCGCAUUAGCUAGUUGGUGAGGUAACGGCUCACCAAGGCGACGAUGCGUAGCCGACCUGAGAGGGUGAUCGGCCACACUGGGACUGAGACACGGCCCAGACUCCUACGGGAGGCAGCAGUAGGAAAUCUUCCGCAAUGGACGAAAGUCUGACGGAGCAACGCCGCGUGAGCGAUGAAGGCCUUCGGGUCGUAAAGCUCUGUUGUUAGGGAAGAACAAGUAUCAGUUAACUGCUGGUACCUUGACGGUACCUAACGAGAAAGCCACGGCUAACUACGUGCCAGCAGCCGCGGUAAUACGUAGGUGGCAAGCGUUGUCCGGAUUUAUUGGGCGUAAAGCGCGCGCAGGCGGUUCUUUAAGUCUGAUGUGAAAGCCCACGGCUCAACCGUGGAGGGUCAUUGGAAACUGGGGAACUUGAGUGCAGAAGAGGAGAGCGGAAUUCCACGUGUAGCGGUGAAAUGCGUAGAGAUGUGGAGGAACACCAGUGGCGAAGGCGGCUCUCUGGUCUGUAACUGACGCUGAGGCGCGAAAGCGUGGGGAGCAAACAGGAUUAGAUACCCUGGUAGUCCACGCCCGUAAACGAUGAGUGCUAAGUGUUGGAGGGUUUCCGCCCUUCAGUGCUGCAGCUAACGCAUUAAGCACUCCCGCCUGGGGAGUACGGUCGCAAGGACUGAAACUCAAAAGGAAUUUGACGGGGGCCCGCACAAGCGGUGGAGCAUGGUGGGUUUAAUUCGAAAGCAACGCCGA